GACCUCAAAUCAGGUAGGAUUACCCGCUGAACUUAAGCAUAUCAAUAAGCGGAGGAAAAGAAACUAACAAGGAUUCCCCUAGUAACUGCGAGUGAAGCGGGAAAAGCUCAAAUUUAAAAUCUGGCGGUUUCACCGUCCGAGUUGUAAUCUAGAGAAGUGUUAUCCGUGCUGGACCGUGUACAAGUCUCUUGGAAUAGAGCGUCAUAGAGGGUGAGAAUCCCGUCUUUGCCACGGACUGCCCGUGCAUUGUGAUGCGCUCUCAACGAGUCGAGUUGUUUGGGAAUGCAGCUCAAAAUGGGUGGUAAACUCCAUCUAAAGCUAAAUAUUGGCGAGAGACCGAUAGCGAACAAGUACCGUGAGGGAAAGAUGAAAAGAACUUUGGAAAGAGAGUUAAACAGUACGUGAAAUUGUUGAAAGGGAAACGCUUGAAGUCAG
This 435-nucleotide ribosomal RNA is filed under the name uncultured fungus. Its description in RNAcentral is "eukaryotic LSU rRNA". It matches the Rfam family "Eukaryotic large subunit ribosomal RNA", at positions 1 to 432 of the family's 3401-position model. The record is from RNAcentral. Lineage: Eukaryota; Fungi.